GGCGCACAGAGCGAACUUCAACCGGCACCUGGUAGGUGGCGCCACCGACGCGGCGCGAACGCACUUCGAUGGUCGGCAUGACGUUUUCCAGCGCCUGCUCGAACACCGGCAGCGGACCCUGCUUGGUCUUCUGCUCGAUCAUCUCGAGCGCACCGUAGACGAUGCUUUCGGCGGCAGACUUCUUGCCGUCGUACAUGAUCGAAUUCAUGAACUUCGUGAUGAUGAUAUUCCCG
Molecule: unclassified non-coding RNA, 233 nt
Filed under: Hevea brasiliensis (rubber tree)
Lineage: Eukaryota; Viridiplantae; Streptophyta; Magnoliopsida; Malpighiales; Euphorbiaceae
Source: RNAcentral